This 1042-nucleotide unclassified non-coding RNA is filed under the name Hevea brasiliensis (rubber tree). Lineage: Eukaryota; Viridiplantae; Streptophyta; Magnoliopsida; Malpighiales; Euphorbiaceae. The record is from RNAcentral.
CUCCAGUCUCAGUGCCACGCAAACAUUUUACUUGUAACCUGGCAAAAGAAAACAAGAACAUGAGUCUCAAACGAGAAGCUCCUUCUUUGUAAGAUGAAUUUCUUGACAACUAUGCUCCUAACAAGAUGAUAGAUGAUCAGUUUCCUUCUGGAAACUAACAGCAGCAGCUCAAUUUCAGAACCAUUAACAGUGCUCAAUCGGAGCAUCCUGCUGCGAAUAUAAAUGUGCUGCAGCAGGUGGAUCAACAAUUAUCUGAGCUGCCUCUGUCCCUACUUCUACCAGAUAAAUCCCCGUUUAAAGUUGCAAUUUGAAUUAAACGUCAACUGAAUACCAGACAUAAGGAUACAAAAAUUGAAACAAGACAUGGGUCGGUCAACAGCUAACAGUAGCAGUUGAUCAAAAUUGGUAGGAAUUGUCAGAUCCAUAUUUGCUUCUCAUAUUGUAACGGUCAAAUUUUGGAUUAUCAUACUCUACAGGCUUCAUCUCAGCAGGUUUUGGCUCUGCCCCAGCUGCUCCAAAAACCACCUCCCCACUCUUAUCUCGUUGGCGAUGCCUUGUUUUCUCUUUGUGGCUCCUGGACCUGCCAGAAGAAGGCACCUCACCUGAUCCAUAGAAUUCUGCAUAUUCUUGUCGUUUUGAGGAACGGUGCUUGCUUGAUAAAGAAGGAUCCUUAAAACUGGCUGACUUGAUCUUUGGUGGCUUAAUUUCUGAAUAAUUAUCACCCGCGCUGGGAGUAUGGACCUGCUGGGUUUCAGAUAAAGAAACAGGAGUACUCUGCCUCUGGACGGAUGGGGGUUCAACCUCAUCUACAGGCAUCCUCAGGGAAUCUUUCAAAGGUGUGAGGCCUUUCUUGGAUCCCCUUGAUCUAAACCAUGAAGGGAUUAAGUAGAGGAACAUGCUAGCCAAUGCCUCAAGUGCGAGCUUGGAAAGAUCAAUAAUAAGCUGUCCAAAAGAGGGCCACUUAGGAUCCUCUUUCAUGCUCUCUGUGAUAGGAGUCGGUUUCUCCAUACUUGGGUACUCCAUAAAUUCACCCUCUGAAUAU